This 335-nucleotide unclassified non-coding RNA is filed under the name soil metagenome. RNAcentral describes it as "partial contains 5.8S ribosomal RNA, internal transcribed spacer 2, and large subunit ribosomal RNA". The stretch from base 1 to 120 matches the Rfam family "5.8S ribosomal RNA", at positions 35 to 154 of the family's 154-position model. The record is from RNAcentral.
GAUGAAGAACGUAGCGAAAUGCGAAAAGUAGUGUGAAUUGCAGAAUUCCGUGAAUCAUCGAAUCUUUGAACGCACAUUGCGCCCCUCGGUAUUCCGUGGGGCAUGCCUGUUCGAGCGUCAUUUACACCCUCAAGCUCUGCUUGGUGUUGGGCGUCUGUCCCGCUUUAUGCGUGGACUCGCCCCAAAGUCAUUGGCAGCGGUCGUGCCAGCUUCUCGCGCAGCACAUUUGCGUUUCUUGAAGUUUGGUGGAUCAGCAUCCAGUAAGUUCUUUUAUGACUUGACCUCGGAUCAGGUAGGGAUACCCGCUGAACUUAAGCAUAUCAAUAAGCGGAGGA